AACGAACGCUGGCGGCAUGCCUAACACAUGCAAGUCGAACGAGACCUUCGGGUCUAGUGGCGCACGGGUGCGUAACGCGUGGGAACCUGCCCUUAGGUUCGGAUCACUUCCCUUAAGGGGAACUUAAACCGGCUGAUGCUCUUAGCGCAAAGGAUUUCUCGCUAUUGGUUGGGGCCGGGUUGGUUUCGGUGGUUGGUAGGGGAAAAGCCAACCAAGGGGCCGAUCCUUGGCUGGUCGGGGAGGAUGAUCAUCACCAAUGGGCAUGAGCCCCGGCCCAGACUCCUACGGGAGGCAGCAGUGGGGAGUAUUGGACGCUGAGCGAAAGCCUAAUCCAGCAAUGCCGCGUGAGUGAUGAAGGCCUUAGGGUUGUAAAGCUCUUUUACCCGGGAUGAGAAUGACAGUACCGGGAGAAUAAGCUCCGGCUAACUCCGUG
Molecule: ribosomal RNA, 433 nt
Filed under: uncultured bacterium
Lineage: Bacteria
Description: partial 16S ribosomal RNA
Rfam family: Bacterial small subunit ribosomal RNA
Source: RNAcentral